UGCAAUUUACCCUAACUAGCAAAGUGGCCCGCUCGAUGCGCGGGCUAGAACUUUAGAAAUUUUAAUAUGAGAACAUAGUAGUUUUUUUUCUUCCUAAAGACGCAUUGAGACCAAAUGUGUUGAAAUUUACAAAUAUAAGUCUCAUUUUAACAUAGUUUUUUCUGGGUAUUUUUUUCUCAGUGACAUGUAAAUAUAUAUGUUUGUCAUUUACAUGCUUAUUAUGCAAAGCGUACUAAAUGUAUUUUUAAUUAAGAAUCACAUUGUGAAAUUUAUAAUUCAUAUCAUUUUUGGCAUUAUGAUGUUUUAUCUAUUUUUAAUUAAAAAUUGCUUAGUAGUUCACCUUUUUUAGGGAGAAAUAGAUGUGCCAUCUCUCGGUUACCUGCGGUUUGUCAAGUUGGAAGGAAGAAAAAUGUGAUUGCCCGUAGUUUCAAUUUGGUCGUCAUAUUUCAAGUAGAUUAUGCAUAUAUUAAACCAUGGUACAGCAGAUUAUGAGAGGGAAACGAAAUUUAUUUAUGAAAAGCAUAUGAUUCCAUAUAUGUACUAAUAUAAAUUAUGUCAAAAACAUAUGAGUGGAGAACAGGGAUAAUACCUAAGUAUUGAUAUGAUGUCAAAAUAUCAAGGCGAUGUAUUACUAUUGAGUGGAAAUUAUGACAACAAAUAUGGUCGGACAUACCCAUCUAAAUAUGAGUAGUGAGUUUUUUUCCUUUGUUACGGUUUUUUUAUUCAUAUGAUAAUGUACUAUAUGUUUGCAUGAUAAAAUAUACUAUAAUUUAGGCCGAAUAUGCACUAUAUUUUUCUGUAAUAAUAGCUGGCAAUUAGGAUUGUUGUGUUUUUUUAAUUGUGUUGUUUUGUAAAAAAAUGAUUUUUUUAGAAGAAGUAAAAAUUGAUUCUUUUGUGCUGGUAUGAUUGGUUGGGCUUUAGCCCAACAAUCUCAAGCAGAUGCCCACAGGGACGACACAUCUUCUCUUUCACUCUACGCUUACAAAAAUGAGAUUUUUUUUCUUUGUCACUCACACCUUCACUCUUGCCUGAUGCCCCGAUCCCCUUUCUCCUUUCCUUGUUCUAUCCGUUCACUCCAAAAUUAUUGCCACUGAAUCAGGUCCGGCUGGUACCACUGGUAAUUCUUAAUCCCCAUCAGUUUGCUCCGUUGAUUUGUGCCUGCUAGUCCUCAGCUGCAGGCAUCCCCGCAGCUGGACUCGCCAGUGCGGCAACAUGGUGACCGUCGUUGACGGCUGGUUUGGCUCGUACGCCUCCUCCGUCUCCUCGCCUUGUAAGCGGCGAUGGAUGUAUAGCAGGGCCCGAGUAGCAGCUCCAAGGGAGGAGGCGAGAUCGUUGAUCUGCACGGUGUCGUCGCUGUCAGCAUCCGUGUAGGGGAUGUUUGGGCAUGGAUCUCUACUCCCACAGCCAGCAUGGAGUCAGCUUUUGUAUGAGGAUAUUGGCGCCGUUGUCUUCCUCAAUCCUGCAACCCAGACUUCGUCGCUGUUCCCACUCGAGGAAGCCCGACAUGUCGUCGUCUUCCUCCACAGCGGCAACAUCCUUCGACCUACAGCAACAGUCGUGGCCUGUCUUCUAGUCUGGCAUGACCUCUUGAUAGUUUUUCUGAUCAAGAUUUUUGUUCUCAUGUACAGUAAGAGCGGUAAACUACUUAUACAAUGAUUCAUUUGGUUUCAAAUCGUAAGGUGCACAUAUGCUAUUUA
Long non-coding RNA from Aegilops tauschii subsp. strangulata, 1697 nucleotides. RefSeq lists it as uncharacterized. NCBI's taxonomy places the organism in Eukaryota, Viridiplantae, Streptophyta, Magnoliopsida, Poales, Poaceae. The record is from RefSeq and is a predicted model, not a curated record.